UACGUGUGGGGCAAGCGUUGUUCGGAAUUACUGGGCAUAAAGGGUGCGUAGGUGGUCGAGCAAGUCAGUGGUGAAAGGCGGUGGCCCAACCAUCGGAGUGCCAUUGAUACUGCUCGACUUGAGUGCGCAAGGGGUGGAUGGAACGAGCGGUGUAGCGGUGAAAUGCGUAGAUAUCGCUCGGAAGGCCGGAGGCGAAGGCGGUCCACUGGUGCGCAACUGACGCUGAGGCACGAAAGCGUGGGGAGCAAACAGG
Molecule: ribosomal RNA, 253 nt
Filed under: uncultured bacterium
Lineage: Bacteria
Description: partial 16S ribosomal RNA
Rfam family: Bacterial small subunit ribosomal RNA
Source: RNAcentral